UACGGAGGGUGCAAGCGUUGUUCGGAUUUAUUGGGCGUAAAGCGCGUGUAGGCGGUCUCUUAAGUCUGAUGUGAAAGCCCUGGGCUCAACCCAGGAAGUGCAUUGGAUACUGGGAGACUUGAAUACGGGAGAGGGUAGUGGAAUUCCUAGUGUAGGAGUGAAAUCCGUAGAUAUUAGGAGGAACACCGGUGGCGAAGGCGGCUACCUGGACCGAUAUUGACGCUGAGACGCGAAAGCGUGGGGAGCAAACAGG
This 253-nucleotide ribosomal RNA is filed under the name uncultured bacterium. Its description in RNAcentral is "partial 16S ribosomal RNA". It matches the Rfam family "Bacterial small subunit ribosomal RNA", at positions 524 to 776 of the family's 1533-position model. The record is from RNAcentral.